CCCACUCAUGCUCUCUCUCUCAAAUAAAUAAACAAAACCUUAAGAAAUAAAAAAAUAAACCAAAAGGGUCUCCGAGAGCUGGCAGGGACUGCAGUGACGUCACCCAGGGCGGAGGCCGCAGGCUUCUGGUAACCUAAUCUCAGAAGUGAGAUCGCAGCACUUUUCCUGCACUGUUUUUUAGAAGCGAGUCACCAGGUCUGGCCGGCCCUCUAGGAGAGGGGGUUCCACAAGGCAGGAGGUAGGUGUCACUGGGGCCCAUCCGAGAGGCUGCCCCGAACACCUGAAGAGGAAUUUGCUUUGUUCCCCAGGAACUAGAAUCUCCUAUUGUGAUUUUUGCAAGUUGGAAGGAUUGUCCAGCCAGGGCUCAUCGGAGGUUGAGAGAGAUGCAGGCCACUCCCAGUUUCAAAACAGAAGAUGCCCCAACAGGCAUUAAGAUGUCAUCUGCAAAACAACCCCAAAGGGAGGUAGGUGUUGUAAUGAUCCCCACUUCACAGAGGAGGAAACUGAGGCAGACAGGUGGGCAUCCGUCCCAGGCCACAUGUGGGUACGUGCACUGGCCCUUCUGGGCACCCUGCCCGUCCAGACAGGCUGUGGCCCCCAUGUGUUCUGCAAUGCUCUGGGGGGUGGGGGGCUUUGGGGAGGGUGUGGACAGGCUGCGCUGGGCUGCCAACACCUCGUUCCCCUGGGGGUGGCACGGACGCCCACCCCCUACAUGUGUGUCAGACGAACGUGCAGGACAAGCGUGGUACACUCGCCCGAAAUUGGGUCAGGGAACUCCUAGAGGGACAUGGCCUGUGCCUGUGGACGGGGAGAGGCCCCCCAGUCGCUGCUCGCCCCGCCUGGCAUCAUUCCUGUGCCCGAGAGCAUGGGGCACCCAGCAUGCAGCGAGACCGUCUAUGAUUCAGAGCAUGACAUGAGAAGAACCUCCGAAUGGACAUCCAGCUGCGUGAGAUGCGCGAGACCAGAGACCGUGUCUGGCAGGACCCCGCCCCCAUCCCCCCUCUCUCUCCCAGGAAUUUUCUAGCACAAGCCCAGUCUCCAGACCUUCCCUGGCCCCUAGGCUCCACUUUGGGGAUUCUCCAACCUUCCAGAGACUGAUCCAAGUGGUAGGCAGGUGCCCACUGCUCCUGACUUUCAGUAUUUUUCAAAAUGUGGCCCCGGGUCCUCUGCACCCGAAUCAGCCGCAGGUGUGUGUAAAUGCAGAGUCCUGGGCUGGCGCCCUGGCCCUUAGGGGCAUCUGCAUUUUGGUAAGGGCCACAUGCCUCCCUGUGCAGGAAGGCCUCAUGGGGAACUGCCGGGGAUGGGGCCCUCGGCCGGUUUGUGAAUUUGCUGGAUCUUCAGUUCCGUCUCCUCCACUCCAGCCGUUAUCGCCAAGCAAGCACCGUGUACCCCAGCACCCCUCCGUCCUCCCCACCCACUACUCCCCAGGAAUGAAGCUGCCUUUGGGGCCCUGGGGGCCUCCACCCCAGGGCACAGAAGGAGCAGGUCAGCCAAGGGGAUUUUGACUUGGACCAGCCCAGGAGAAGGAGCGUUUUAAACAAGGGUGCCCCUUCCUGGCCUUUGGAGUAAUGAAGACACCCCAAGGGGCACCCCCUUGAAGCCUCCCGCCUUGCCCACCACCUCAUCUCACCAGCGCUGGUGGCCCCCGCGGGCACAAGGCCGGGGGGCUGUACAGGAACCCAUCCCGAGACCCCCCCAGGCCUGGAGACGGGCUCUGGCAGGAACACAGGCUGCCGCAGGGUAAAGGCUGGCCCAGCUCUGGAGGGACGGCUUCCCAUGCUCAGCAGUCCUGGGCAGGUGCAGGGGAGGGAGACCCCAUGGCCAGCAGCUCCCGCUCCCUUGAGCAGGGGGUCUGUUCCGGGGGGUGGGGAGGUCAUCUUCCUGGGAGGAGGCACUUCCUCGUGCCAACUGAGGGCCCUGCUUUGUGAACUGAAGCUCUUCCUUCUUGUUCUGCCCUCCAGAGACUUGCUCAAAUGAUCAAUACGCUUUUAAUUAAACUCCCAACUGCUUCAAGAGGA
Non-coding RNA from Leptonychotes weddellii (Weddell seal), 2018 nucleotides. NCBI's taxonomy places the organism in Eukaryota, Metazoa, Chordata, Mammalia, Carnivora, Phocidae. The record is from RefSeq and is a predicted model, not a curated record.